RNAcentral lists this ribosomal RNA (277 nucleotides) under uncultured bacterium. RNAcentral describes it as "partial 16S ribosomal RNA". It matches the Rfam family "Bacterial small subunit ribosomal RNA", at positions 28 to 332 of the family's 1533-position model. The record is from RNAcentral.
GACGAACGCUGGCGGUGUGCUUCACACAUGCAAGUCGAACGGGGUAGCAAUACCCAGUGGCGGACGGGUGAGUAACACGUGGGAAUCUGCCUUAGGGUGGGGGAUAACUGACCGAAAGGUUAGCUAAUACCCCAUAUGUAGGAAUAUGAAAGUAGCAAUACGCCAUAAGAUGAGCCCGCGUCCGAUUAGCUAGUUGGUAAGGUAAAGGCUUACCAAGGCAGUGAUCGGUAGCUGGUCUGAGAGGAUGAUCAGCCACAAUGGAACUGAGACACGGUCC